AACAAACGCUGGCGGCGUGUCUUAAGCAUGCAAGUUGAGCGGCAAGGAGGAGAGAUCCUCCCUAGAGCGGCGGACUGGUGAGUAACGCGUGGGUAAUCUAUCUUAGGCAUGGGGAUAGUCACUAGAAAUAGUGGGUAAUACCGAAUAAGUUCCAUAAGGGGAGGACUUAUGGAAGAAAGGUGCUACGGCACUGGCCUUAGGUGAGCUCGCGUCCCAUUAGCUAGUUGGUGAGGUAAAGGCCCACCAAGGCGAUGAUGGGUAGCCGGCCUGAGAGGGUGUACGGCCACACUGGGACUGAGAUACGGCCCAGACUCCUACGGGAGGCAGCAGCUAAGAAUAUUCCGCAAUGGACGGAAGUCUGAUGGAGCGACGCCGCGUGGAUGAAGAAGGCCGAAAGGUUGUAAAGUUCUUUUGCUAGGGGAGAAUAAGUGUGGGAGGGAAUGCCUGCACGAUGACAAGGACUAGCGAAUAAGUCCCGGCCAACUACGUG
RNAcentral lists this ribosomal RNA (490 nucleotides) under uncultured bacterium. Its description in RNAcentral is "bacterial SSU rRNA". It matches the Rfam family "Bacterial small subunit ribosomal RNA", at positions 29 to 507 of the family's 1533-position model. The record is from RNAcentral.